ACGCGGCACCAAACUAAUGAUUAUUUCCACCACUCCCACUCUCACCAUUUUACGUCUUUACCUUAUACAGAUGUGAAGACUCGAGUAUUUUCGUCUCUGAGCUGUGCUGCUGCAUUUCAGUAUUUUCUCCUGUCUGUGGACUUAAAAGAUUAAAGCUGUCUGAAACCUGAUUGUUUGGGGGGAUUUUGUGUGGCUUCAGAGUAUUUCCAGCCAUCUGUUUUCAAAUGCAUUUUCAUUUCACGCCAUUCAAGCAUCGCAAAGACACUUUCACAGCUGGGUGGUGUGUGAGGGAAACAGCUGGAGUGUUGUUGCAGAAACGCAGCUGAAGUUUGGAUGUUCUGUCCCAGCACCACCUCGGGUCUCCAGGUGUCUGUAAUGAGCGUGAUGAGUGCUGAGCUCCUACAUUAGAGGAGCUUCAAUCAGCAGCCAGCCUUCACCCGACAGAGCUGCUGUAGAUGACCUGCUGUUCUGAGUCAAACAUGGUGUUGGGACUCUCUUUGAGGGCUCCGUUGAUCUGCCUGCUGAUAGGCACUGGUUGUACUUUCCCUGCACCAGAUUACAGGUAUCCCUACCCAGGUGGUGGACCUUCUUCUGGAUUAUCAAACCUUCAGUCUGAAGCUUUUCACUCUCCCUUGGUUUCCCUGAUGUAUGAAGAUGCCCCUGAACACGGUGGUUCUCCUCCUGGAAGCCAGUCUCCAAGUGGUCCGGUAGCUUCCCUUCCAGCUCGGCGUUCUGUACCCAUAUAUGAGCCAAAAAAGUUUGUUGUGACUUAUGAUUCCAGCUCAGAUGAGUCCAGUCCUCCUGAAGUUCAGUCUCCUGGCCCCUGGUUCAGCUCUCUGGGAGCUGUGAGGAAACCUCCCAGCGUCUCUGUGAACCCUCGGUCAGCUUUGAGAACCAGUGAACGCCCACAUGUGGUGUUUGGGUCCCGUCCGGUCUACGAGGCUUUAUUGCCCCCUCGUGGAGUCAGAUAUGCUGGUGGGAACUCUGCUUCCUACAGAUCAUCCCCAUUUAAUCCAGCAUUCGCGUGGGAUGAACGGUUUGCAGCGGGGCCUUCUGCCCUGUUCUACCUGGGAGGGUGGACACCUCGUCACCUCCCGGAUGCCAGCUCCUGGAACACUGACGAGGUGCCGGUGAGCAAGGCUGAGCUGCCGUACCUGCUGCCUGCAUCUUACAUCGUCCAAUCAAGAAACCGCUACCAGCGACCAGCAGAAGUCCUGUCGCACUCCAAAUACUCUGACGAUACCUUCAAGCACAUUCACCCCAGCAAGUCUCCAGAUCUGCCUCAAUCUGAGGGACCAAAAGUUCACUGA
This 1310-nucleotide long non-coding RNA is filed under the name Oreochromis niloticus (Nile tilapia). RNAcentral describes it as "lncRNA (ENSONIG00000029336.1)". Lineage: Eukaryota; Metazoa; Chordata; Actinopteri; Cichliformes; Cichlidae. The record is from RNAcentral.